UAGCUGCCUAGAAGUCAGUAUUCUCUUAGCAGUCUUCAGAGGAAGAUGUAGAACUCUCAGCUCUUCCUGCACCAUGCCUGCCUGGAUGCUGCCAUGUUCCUGCCUUCAUGAUAAUGGACUGAACCUCUGAACCGGUCUUCUGUCUGGUGGCACAGCCCGCUGCCCCAUAGCUCACUGCAAGCUCAUGACUUGGAAGGAAAGAACCAACUCCAGGACAUUGUGGGGUGACCUCCACGUGCGCAGUGACACUUGUAUGCCCAUACACAUUCAUACAUGCCCGCAGAACAAAGAAAGGCAAAGGAAUCAGCGGGGGCAGCAGCACAGGGGCAAAUGAACUUAGAGGCAAGACAGCAGAAGGUGGGAUGGUCUUCCCUCCAUUUUUUAUCUGGACGCUCCGUGAAGAAGCUCUCCCCACAAUGCAUCAUCAGGGAAUGAGAGUCACUGCAGAUCCCAGAUCCUUGCAGUGGACCUGUGUCCUGGUUGUUACAGCGGUUGCCUAGUGACUGACAAUGAUCACUCAGGACAAAGUUCCAUGGGGAGCUGUGGAGGUGGAGAUUCCUUAUUUACAGCAAAACUGACAAAAAUAACUUCCUAAAAAUGUUCACCAAACUCACGUUGCACAGCAGAGCAGGCUUUGGCCAGUGCUUCUUGGCUUUGAGGGACCAGCUUGCAUUUCACGAAUUGCCCUCUGCCUGGAUAUUCCAGGGAGCAUGCGUAGGGGCUGGGACUGUCUCCUUGGGAAGAUUCACAAAGGAACAAGCUUUUCAAAGGCUCCAGAGCUCGUAAAGAGAUACUCAGGAUCAUUAGCCAUUAGGGAGACGCAAGUAAAAAACCUAGUGAGGCACCACUGCACAUAAAUAUGACUAUCACUGAAAAAAAUGGACGAUGAUAAUAAGACAAAAUGUUGAGGAAUUGUUCUCUUUAUUGGAAGGUGACAAAGUGCAGUUGCCUUGCAUAGAAAUCCAACGAUCUGGGAUCAUAGAAAUCAAAGAUCUGGACUGUAGAGUUAUUCCAUGACCCUGCCCUUCCCCUCCCAAGCAUCGAAUGAUCCAAGGCAACUGAAAAUACACACACUACUGGAAUUUGUUGACGCCUGACAAUGGCAGCAUUCUUCACAAAACGGAAGCGACCGAAUGUCCCUUAAACAUGCCUGCGACAGCACAGCUGAUCCUCAAAGGUACACGGUGAAAGAAACCCAGAACAUACGGCCUCAUGUGCCCGAUUCCACCACUGCUGGGCACGUUCCUUUACAUAUCAUCUGUGUAUGGCUUCACUUUUCUAUGUACUGUCCUUUGGGUGGAUUUAUAGACAUUUUGGAGAUGGAAAAUGUUUUGUUUCAUUGACUGCCCACCCCUCACCAUCUGCCGGCCCAUGAGACAGCACACACCUCAGAUAGCCCAUGAACACCCAGUUGAGAUUUUGUACCUCAAAUGAG
This is a non-coding RNA of Rattus norvegicus (Norway rat), 1435 nucleotides long. The record is from RefSeq and is a predicted model, not a curated record. NCBI's taxonomy places the organism in Eukaryota, Metazoa, Chordata, Mammalia, Rodentia, Muridae.